This 3685-nucleotide long non-coding RNA is filed under the name Sus scrofa (pig). RNAcentral's name for it is "lncRNA (ENSSSCG00035068566.1)". Lineage: Eukaryota; Metazoa; Chordata; Mammalia; Artiodactyla; Suidae. The record is from RNAcentral.
GAGUCAUGGUUUUCUCUGGAUAGAUGUCCAGGAGUGGGAUUGCUGGGUCAAAUGGUAGUUCUAUUUUUAGUUUUCUGAGGAAUCAAAUAGUAGCUUUCUUGAGAUACAAUCCACCAUGACAUAAAAUUCACAUUUUGAAAGUAUGAAAUACAGGGGAUUUUAGUAUAUUUAGAGUUAUGCAGACAUCAUUUUUAUGUAAUUUUAGAUCAUGUCCAUCACCUGAAAAGAAACCUUGUGCCCUUUAGUAGUCAUUGCACAUUCCUACCUUCCCAUAGCCCUUGGAAACCACCCCAUAGCCCUUGGAAACCACCACUCUGCUUUGACUCUAUGAAUUUACCUAUUCUGGACAUUUUUUAUAAAUGGAAUCAUAGAAUAUAUGGCCCUUUGUGUCUGGCUUCUUUCACUUAGCAUAAUGUUUUUAAGGAUCAUUCAUGUUAUAGCAUGUAUCCAUAUUCUUUUUUUAUAGCCAUAUAUUCCAUUGUAUGGAUAUAUACCACAUUUUGUUUAUCCAUUCAUCAGUUGAUAGACAAAUUUGAGUUGAUUCCCAUUUCUGGGUAUUAUGAAUAAUGCUGCUGUAAACAUUCAUGUGCACAUUUUGUGUAGAUAUAUGUGUUCACUUCUCUUGGUUACAUACCUAGGAAUGGAAUUCCCUAGUCAUAUGGUAACUCUGUUUUAACAUUUUGAGGAACUGUCAAACAUUUCCAAAGUAGUGGCACUAGUUUACAGCCCCAGCAGCCCCAAAUUCUCCACAUCUUCAACACUUGUGAUUGUUUUGUCUUUUUUAUAUUUGAGCCAUCCCUGUGGGUAUGAAGUGAGAUCACAUUAUGAUUUUAAUUUGCAUGUCCCUGAUGGUUAGUUAGCUCUGAAUGUCUUUUUAUUUACUUGUUGGUCAUUUGUCUAUUUUCUUUGGAAAAAUGUCUGUUCAGAUCCUUUGCUUUUUUGGCCAUGCCUGUGGCAUGUAGAAGUUCCCCGGGCCAGGGAUUGAACUGUCGCCACAGCAGCGACUCAAGGUGCUGCAGUGACAAUGCCAGAUCCUUAACCCACUGAGCUACACAGAAACUCCUGCCCAUUUUUAAUUGGUUUUUAUAACUUUUUACUUUUGAGUCAUGAGAGUUUUUAUUCGUGUGUGUGUGUGUGUGUAUGUGUGUGUGUGUUUGUGUGUAUUUGUAUUCUCGAUGCAAAUCCCUUAACAGAUAGAUGAUUUGCAAAUGUUUUUUUUCCUAUUCCCUGGUGGGUUGUCUUUUUAUUUUCUUGAUAGUUCUCAGUUCUUGGUCUUUAUCUUACUUUCAACAGAUUUGAUUACUGUCUCCUUCAUGUAUUUUCUUCACUUAAUUUCCAGAACACUACAUUCUCCUGAUAUUUUUCUCACCUUACUGUGUGCUUCACCUCUGUUUCCUUUGCUGCCUAUUUUUAAUCUCUCCAGCCUCUUAACAUUGAAGUGCCUCUGGGCUUAGUCCUCAGACUACUUAUUCUAUCACACCACUCUUUGUAUCUCUUCUGUUCACACUUAUAUGCCGACAGCUUCACAUGUUACUAUCAAUAUCGUGUAUUUAUCUGUCUACUUGACAUUGUGACUUAGAUAUCUGAUAGGCAUUUCAGAUUUAAAAUGUCUGAAACCAGAGUCCUGAAUCUUUUCUCCAAAAUCUGAUCCUCCUUCAGUCUUCCUCAUCUCACUAAGCAUCUAUUCCAUUACCCUAACUACUUGGGCCAAGGAGUCAUUCUUUUCAUUCUCUCCCUCCCCACAUACAACCCACCAACAAAUUGUACUGGCUUUAUCUGUAAUAUAUUUAGAAUCCAACUUUUCUCACUACUUUCACUGCUACCAGCUAGUCUAAACCAUUAUUUAACCUUUUCUGAAUUACCGUAAUAGCCUUCAACUAUUCUACCUGUCUUUAGUGCCUUAUAAUUUUUUCUCAACAUAGCAGUCGAAGUGAUCCUUUUAUUUAUUUAUUGUCUUUUUGCCUUUUUCAGGGCUGCUUCCCACGGCAUAUGGAGAUUCCCAGGCUAGGGGUCUAAUCAGAGCUCUAGCCGCUGGUCUACACCAGAUCCACAGCAACGUGGGAUCCAAGCCGCAUCUGCAACCUACACCACAGCUCAUGGUAACACCGGGUCCUUAACCCGCUGAGCAAGGCCAGGGAUUGGACCCGAAACCUCAUGGUUCCUAGUCAGAUUCAUUAACGACUGCGACACGACGGGAACUCCCCGAAGUAAUCCUUUUAAAGCAUGUCAGAUUAUUUUAUUCCUCUACUAAAACCAUGCAGUGGCUUCCCAUAUCAUUCAGAAAAAAACCCCAAAAUUCUUAAAGUCUCUUAUGUCAUUGAGCUCCUGUUUUUGUUUUGACCUUAUUUACUCUCUCCUCUUCCUCUCUCUUAUCCUUAAUAUUCCUCAAAUGCUCCAGGCAUUCUUACCUUAUGGCCUUUGUCUGUGGUGUAGUGUUAAGACAUGCCUCAGAUCUGGUGUGGCUGUGGCUGUGGCCGGCAGCUGCAGCUCCAAUUUGACCCCUAGCUUGAUGACUGUAUGCCGAGGAUGCAGCCCUAAAAAAAGAAAAGAAAGAAAGAAAUUACUAUAUUGAAAUAUCAUUUAUCUUGAUUACUAAUGUUUUUGGUGCCCCCUUAAAUUUUGCACCUGAGGUCAAUACUUUUCUGUGCUUUAUUUGCCUCUCAUUUGCCUCACCCUGCUGAGGAAACUAGGAAUGGAAGGGAAUCUCUUCCUGAUUGAGAGUAUCUACCAUAAACCUACAGCUAGCAUCAUAGCUAAUGUUGAAAAACUGAAUGCAUUCGCCUUAGGAUAAAGACAAAAUAAGGGUGUCCUCUCUUAGCCCUUCUAUUCAUUGUUACACUGGAGGUUCUCACUAAUCAGGUAAGACCAGAAAAAAGAAAUAAAAGGCAUCCAAGUUGGAAAGGAAGAAAUAAAACUUUUUAUUUAUAGAUGUUAUAAUUAUCUAUGUAGCAAAUGCUAAGGAAGCUUAAAAAAGCUAUUAGGACUACAGUAAUAAUGUGAGUUUAGCAAUAUGGCAGGAUAGAAGUUCAUUGUAUGAAAAUCAAUUGUAUUUCUGUAUAUGGCAAUCACAUUGAAAUGUUAAAAAUAUAAUUUAUAAUAGCAUUAAAAUAUGAAAUAGGAUAAACCUGACAAAAGUAUGUAAAAUCUGUACACUGAAACUAUAAAACAUUGCUGAAAGAAAGAGGAUGUAAUCAAUGGAAAUUUAUCAUGAUCAUGGAUUCACAGACUCAACAGUAUUAUAGUAACACUUCUCUUCAGGUUGAGUCAUAGAUUCAGUGAGUUCUAAUUCUCAGGGUUUUUUUACAAUAGAAAUCGACAAGCAGAUUUUAAAAUUCAUGUGGAAAUGAACUUAAUACUACCUGACCUAAGUUCAUAUUCUAAAUUUAUUUAUUAUAAAUCUUCUAGUAAUUGUCUUCAUGAUGUUAUACAUACCAAAACUUAUUAAAUUGAAUACUUUAAAUUAGAAUGGUUUAUUGUCAGUUAUAUUUCAACAAAGUUGGUAAACUGACUAGACUGCCCCCACUGUAAUCAAAAUGUGAAACAGGAAUUCCCGUCGUGGUGCAGUGGUUAACGAAUCCGACUAGGAACCAUGAGGUUGCGGGUUCGGUCCCUGCCCUUGCUCAGUGGGUUAACGAUCCGGCGUUGCCGUGAGCUGUGGUGUAGGUUGCAGACGCGGCUCGGAUCC